RNAcentral lists this ribosomal RNA (760 nucleotides) under Podosphaera xanthii. Its description in RNAcentral is "eukaryotic LSU rRNA". It matches the Rfam family "Eukaryotic large subunit ribosomal RNA", at positions 1 to 779 of the family's 3401-position model. The record is from RNAcentral. Lineage: Eukaryota; Fungi; Ascomycota; Leotiomycetes; Helotiales; Erysiphaceae.
AUGACCUCGGAUCAGGUAGGGAUACCCGCUGAACUUAAGCAUAUCAAUAAGCGGAGGAAAAGAAACCAACAGGGAUUACCUCAGUAACGGCGAGUGAAGCGGUAACAGCUCAAAUUUGAAAUCUGGCUCCUCGGGGCCCGAAUUGUAAUUUGUAGAAGAUGCUUUGGGUCUGGGCCUGGCCUAAGUUCCUUGGAACAGGACGUCGUAGAGGGUGAGAAUCCCGUAUGCGGCUGGCGCCCGUGCCCGUGUAAAGCUCUUUCAACGAGUCGAGUUGUUUGGGAAUGCAGCUCUAAAUGGGUGGUAAAUUUCAUCUAAAGCUAAAUAUUGGCCAGAGACCGAUAGCGCACAAGUAGAGUGAUCGAAAGAUGAAAAGCACUUUGGAAAGAGAGUUAAACAGUACGUGAAAUUGUUGAAAGGGAAGCGCUGGCAACCAGACUUGGGCGCUGUUGAUCCGCUAGGGUUCUCUCUAGGGCACUCGGCAGUGCGCAGGCCAGCAUCGGUUUGGGGGGUUGGAGAAUGGCUGGUGGAAUGUGGCUGUCUUUGGGCAGUGUUAUAGCCACCGGUGGCAUGCAGCCUCCCCGGACCGAGGACCGCGCUUCGGCUAGGAUGCUGGCGUAAUGGUUGUCAGCGACCCGUCUUGAAACACGGACCAAGGAGUCUAACAUCUAUGCGAGUGUUUGGGUGUUAAACCCAUACGCGGAAUGAAAGUGAACGUAGGUGAGAACCCGCAAGGGUGCAUCAUCGACCGAUCCUGAUGUCU